AGUCGGAUUAUGGCUCAGAUUGAACGCUGCGGAUGCUUUACAUGUCGAACGGCAGCACGGACUUCGGUCUGGUGGCGAGUGGCGAACGGGUGAGUAAUGUAUCGAACAGCCUAGUGGGGAUAACUACGCGAAAGCGGGUAGCCAAUACCGCAUACUGCCCUUCGGGGAAGCGGGGACCUUCUGGCCUCGCACUAUUAUAGCGGCCGGAUAUCGGAUUAGCUAGUUGGUAGGUAAUUCGGGUCACCAAUAAGGCGACGACCGUAGCUGUUUGAGAGGACGAAUUGCACAACACUGGGACUGGAGAUGGCGGCCCAGACUCCCUACGGGAGGCAGCAGUGAAUUUUGGGAUAAAUGGGGAAACCCUGAUCCAAAGCCAUCCCUGCGUGGGUGCGAUGAAGCGCCUUCAAGCCAAAAGCACUUACAGGAAAGAAACGGCACGGGAUAAUACCCUGCGCAACUGACGGUACCUGCAGGACACACCGGCUAACUGCGCCAGCAGCCGCGUAAUACGUAGGGUAAGCGUUAAUCGGAAAUUACUGGGCGUAAAAGCGUGCGCGGGUAUGGUCUGGAAAGAAAGAUGUGAAAUCCCAGAGCUUAACUUUGAACUGCAUUUUUAACUACCGGUUAGAGGUAAAGCCAGAGAGGGAGGUGGAAUUCCGCGUGUAACAGUGAAAUGCGUAGAUAUGCGGAGGAACACCGAUGGCGAAGGCAGCCUCCUGGGAGUAACACUGACGCUCAUGCACGAAAGCGUGGGGAGCAAACAGGAUUAGAUACCCUGGUAGUCCACGCCCUAAACGAUGUCAACUAGCUGUUGGGGCUUUCGGGCCUGCAGAAUGCAGCAGCUAACGCGUGAAGUUGACCGCCUGGGAGCACGGUCGCAAGAUUAAAACUCAAAGGAAUUGAUUGGGGGACCGCACAAGCGGUGAUGAUGUGGAUUGACCGAUGCAACGCGAAAACCUAUCACCUUGCGAUAUGUCUGGAAUCCUGAAGAGAUUUAGCGUCGUAAGAGAACGAAUCACAGGAAGGCAUGGCUGUCGUCGGCCUGUGUCGUGGAGAUGUUGGGUUAAGUCCCGCAACGAGCGCAACCUUGUCAUUAAGAAGGUUACGAAAGGGCACAAUUUCGAUGAGACUGCCGGUGACAAACCGGAGGAAGGUGGGGAUGACGUUCAAGUCUCAUAUCUUUACAGGUAGGGCUUCGUCGUCAUACAUGACGUGGACAGAGGGUCGCCAACCCAAGAGGGGAGCGUGAAUCCAGAACGCCGACUGGGGUCCGAUCGCAGUCUGCAACCUCGACUGCGGAAGUCGGAAUCGCUAGUAAUCGCGGAUCAGCAUGUCGCGGUGAAUACGUUCCUGGUCUUGGUAUGGCACGGUUCGUCACACCAUGGGAGUGGGUUUUACCAGAAGUAGUUAGCCUAACCGUGGCGGAGGCGACUACUACGGGUAGGAUCUGCGACCGGGGCAGUCGCAACGCGUAACCUCAGCUACCGCCACCUGAUGCCCGUGAUAAUACCAACCGA
RNAcentral lists this ribosomal RNA (1517 nucleotides) under uncultured Bordetella sp. RNAcentral's name for it is "partial 16S-23S ribosomal RNA intergenic spacer". It matches the Rfam family "Bacterial small subunit ribosomal RNA". The record is from RNAcentral. Lineage: Bacteria; Pseudomonadati; Pseudomonadota; Betaproteobacteria; Burkholderiales; Alcaligenaceae.